UAAUGUCCAAAAUUUCACUGUACACCUGUGCAUUGACUGCUGAGGUAAUGAUUGCCAUCUCCCCUGGUCCU
Non-coding RNA from Pangasianodon gigas (Mekong giant catfish), 71 nucleotides. NCBI's taxonomy places the organism in Eukaryota, Metazoa, Chordata, Actinopteri, Siluriformes, Pangasiidae. The record is from the annotation of a GenBank genome assembly.